Pelodiscus sinensis (Chinese soft-shelled turtle) is the source of this 2519-nucleotide non-coding RNA. NCBI's taxonomy places the organism in Eukaryota, Metazoa, Chordata, Testudines, Trionychidae. The record is from RefSeq and is a predicted model, not a curated record.
GCCAUUUUGUGCCGGCAGCCUUGGGGAACCAGAAAAAAGAAGACUAAAGGGGGAAGAUGAUAGAAGUCUAAUGAAAUCAUGACUGGUGUGGAAAACACUGUCACUGGCGGCAAGAAGGAACUAAGGAUGGGCAGAGUGAACGACGCCUUGUACUGCACCACGAAGGUACCACUCCAGAGAAUGCUGAAGUUGCUCACCUAUAGAUUACAGCUAGGGGAAAACUUCUGGCAUUGGCAUACAUGGCGAGCAUAUACACCUGAUAUGAAAUGGACACUAGCAAUCACUUGAAGGAAAAUCAUCAAUGUAUCAGUUGCUUUGUUUUAAAAAUCCUAGUAAAAAGGCAGGUUUUGGUUGCCUGAUGGGAUUGUGUGUCAUUUUCUGGGCAAAAUCUGAAAGGAACUGAAGCAUGUGUUUCAUUGCAUGCCAUCUGCAUUAUAUUACACAUUAGGAAGAUCAAGUAGUGAACAUGCAGGAGUAAUAAGAAUUUUAUUUCCAAAACGUUCUUUAAAAGCUCCAGUAUUAGCAGUUCUGAACUAAGUAGUCCCCCCUUGAACAGAAGGCUAUGCACUUUAAUUCCAUCUCAAGGAAUAAUUUUAUUACAACAGGAAGCUUUUUCUGAAUAUAUUCAUACCAAGACCAGUGGUUCAGUACAAUACAGGAAGACAAGGCCCUGUUUAGUUUUAAGACAUUUUCCAUAAAAAUCCUUUUUAUACAACUUCUGAAACAAGAGUUUUAUUCUUACACAGUAGUUCUUCAGCCACGGUCCUGCUGAGGCCCUUUUACACCUGGUCGGUGUAAAGGAGAUGCCCACUUUUAUUUUUUCAAAACAACAAUGCUAACUUCCUGAGUGGUUGCUAGAGAAGUCUGAAGAAGCAAGCAGAAGACCGAUUCUAAAUAAGAGAGCUACAAAAUAAAAUAAAUAAAAAGGAAACAGCUAGAAAUUCAGCAGAAACAGAAUUACAACAGAGCAAUAGCUGGCAAGAUCAUUUCAGAAGCAAAAGCAACUUCAUUCUGUGUUGUCAUCUAGCAAAGAACCAUUUCAUUCACUAAACCCCAAGAUCAGAAAGUGCUUUUGUACCUCCACAGACGGAUAAUGUGGAAUUAAUACAUGCUCUCAGCCACCAAUAUGAUUGUUUGCUUAUUUUCUGGGUAAGUUACUACAAGAAUUAGCACAGAAGAAGCAGUCGAUUUAAAACAGCCACACAAAUUAAAAUAAACCAAGCACUUAAAUAAGCUAUCAAAAUAGAAAGCUAGCAUCACCAAUUACUCUCAAAUCUGGAAUGGGAAAAGAAAUCGCUUUAUAGUGGGAUUGGUGCUACAAAAUGGCAUAAACUUUAGCAUUAUACAAAUAAUAAAAAAUACCACUCUGACAACUUAGCUCACCUGCUUGGAUAUCAUCGCAAUACAAACUAUACAGUAAGGGAUAUAAAUAAGUGUUUUGACAUAGAAGCCCAAUACUUGCACUGUGUCAGUUUCUGCAAACACUGAAGUUAAAAAAAACAUACAUGCAUUAUCAAAUGUAAACAUUUACAUCAUAUAAAACCUUAGAAAUGCUGGAAAAUGCCCGAGGGACUUUUACUUUAUAUAAAAUCUACCAGCACAAGAGGCAAAAGGAGUUCAGAAAUUACAACUAGAGACAGAUCAGACAACACAGUGAAGUUUAUUACAUUUUUAAUACAAAUUUAGGGCUCUAAUUAAAUGUUCACUCGGAAGUCUCUAUGGAAUGUCUGUAUGCUCUGAAAGCACAUCUUGGGGAAGGUUUUAGAAACUAGCUUAAUGCAGAACACAGAAGAGAAACUGCAAAUCUCUGAAAAUAAAAUUUUACUCUGUUACCCUUUGCAUCAAGAUACUGAAAUAUGGCCCAGGGAAAGAAGAAAACGGAUAAAUUCCAGUUGUGCUUUUCCUAACCAACUCUGUCUCAUAUGGGACAUCUCUGAAAAGAUGAUCAAGCAGAUUAAUUUAUUUCAGCUUAGAGCUAUUUCAAUCUCUCUCUACAAGAAAAAAAAAUUAAACACAAACAAAACCCUCUAUAUUAUUAGAAAAAAAAAAUCUCAUCUAAAACAAGCAGUCUGAAAACAAGUUCCUUCCCUCCCACCCCACCCCCUAAACAGCCACAAGUAAUUAGUAAUCCUUCAGCUAAUUUGUAUUAGGUUCAGACACACAGGUUCCUGAAUGAGCUUUGAGGUCUGACAGAUCUAUCAAAUCCGUAGCUUGUCUACUUAUUACAUCUUCAUUGGCAAUCCUAUUGCUCUCUCACAGCCUGAAAAAAGACUUCAGGGGUUAGGAAUCCCACUAACUGUAGUUUUCAUGCACGAGAUCCAAGAUGGGAUGAUCCUACAAACUCUUACAAACCUCUACACGAUGUAGGUUUUGCCUAAAUGUCUCAAAGUAUAAACUAACCAUGGCAGGGACAUUUAAAAACGUGCCCGAACUCAAAUAGUGAUAGAAACGUAGCCGUGUUAGUCUGGUGUAGCUGAAACAAAAAACAAGACUAUGUAGCACUUUAAAGACUAACAAGA